UGAGGAAUAUUGCGCAAUGGGGGCAACCCUGACGCAGCAACGCCGCGUGAGUGAGGAAGGUUUUCGGAUUGUAAAGCUCUGUCGAGCGGAAAGAAAUGCAUUAUGGCUAAUAUCCAUAGUGCUUGACGGUACCGCUAAAGGAAGCACCGGCUAACUCCGUGCCAGCAGCCGCGGUAAUACGGGGGGUGCAAGCGUUGUUCGGAAUCAUUGGGCGUAAAGCGCGUGUAGGCGGCUCGACAAGUCAGAUGUGAAAUCCCUGGGCUUAACUCAGGAAGUGCAUUUGAAACUGUCAGGCUAGAGUAAGGGAGAGGAAAGUGGAAUUCCUGGUGUAGAGGUGAAAUUCGUAGAUAUCGGGAGGAAUAUCAGUGGCGAAGGCGCCCAUCUGGACGGUAACUGACGCUGAGACGCGAAAGCGUGGGGAGCAAACA
Molecule: ribosomal RNA, 428 nt
Filed under: uncultured prokaryote
Description: bacterial SSU rRNA
Rfam family: Bacterial small subunit ribosomal RNA
Source: RNAcentral